RNAcentral lists this ribosomal RNA (493 nucleotides) under uncultured bacterium. RNAcentral's name for it is "partial 16S ribosomal RNA". It matches the Rfam family "Bacterial small subunit ribosomal RNA", at positions 30 to 523 of the family's 1533-position model. The record is from RNAcentral.
AUUGAACGCUGGCGGCAUGCCUUACACAUGCAAGUCGAACGGUAACAGGUUAAGCUGACGAGUGGCGAACGGGUGAGUAAUAUAUCGGAACGUGCCCAGUCGUGGGGGGUAACGUAGCGAAAGCUACGCUAAUACCGCAUACGAUCUACGGAUGAAAGCGGGGGAUCGCAAGACCUCGCGCGAUUGGAGCGGCCGAUAUCAGAUUAGGUUGUUGGUGAGGUAAAAGCUCACCAAGCCUGCGAUCUGUAGCUGGUCUGAGAGGACGACCAGCCUCACUGGAACUGAGACACGGUCCAGACUCCUACGGGAGGCAGCAGUGGGGAAUUUUGGACAAUGGACGCAAGUCUGAUCCAGCAAUGCCGCGUGCAGGACGAAGGCCUUCGGGUUGUAAACUGCUUUUGUACGGAACGAAACGGUGAGCUCUAAUACAGUUUGCUAAUGACGGUACCGUAAGAAUAAGCACCGGCUAACUACGUGCCAGCCGCCGCGGUAA